Long non-coding RNA from Neofelis nebulosa (Clouded leopard), 4797 nucleotides. RefSeq lists it as uncharacterized. The record is from RefSeq and is a predicted model, not a curated record. The transcript is spliced from 4 exons. NCBI's taxonomy places the organism in Eukaryota, Metazoa, Chordata, Mammalia, Carnivora, Felidae.
GGGAGUCGGGCGGCGGGUCCCCGAGGACCAGUGUCCUGGUACGUGUGGGUAUCGGCGUCGAGGGGGGCCUGGGCAAUGGGCAUUUCCGGGUGCUCUGCAAUAAGGGGGGUGGGGGAGUCGGUCGUGGGCUAUGGAGAAGAAGGGGGCCUAGAUGAGCAGGCACUGUGCUUCUGAAGAGCAGCCACCUACUGUCAGGCCUGGAGCGACGGCGUGCAUGACGGCUAAGUGGCCCCUCGGCCUCGGAGGGUCCGAGCUUUUUCGCGCCCGCGCCUUCGCGUUCCAACUUGGAAGCCACACGGCCAGCCUUGUAAGCCAGGGGGCGGGGCAGUGCCGCAGGAGGGCGGGUCCGGGGGCGGAGCGGCAGCGCUCGCGCGCGCUCUCCACCAAUCAGGAGGAUUCGGGAGGGCCUGCGGAGCGUGACGUGAUCGGCAAGGCCGAGGGGGCGACCUGCGGCCUACAGAGCCUCGCCUGGCCGCGCGGGGUUGCGCGCGCACCCCGGGCCUCGUAGGCACGUUCAACCCCGUCGUGACUUAAAAGACAUGACGCUGGUAGGUCCUUUCUCGCUCCCCCGUACCUCCCGGAGCUGGUGACAGCCAGGUGGCGUGCGCACCGAGGGAACCAGCGAGCCUCUCCAAAGUUUUCAAGUACACUCCCGGUAGCCCUCUGGCGGGGGGCAACCGGCCCACCUCACCAGUUCCUGCGCCAGGUGGAGCGCAGUGAGGGUCUCGGUGUGGGAGACCUGUCCCCGGGACAGGGCUCUUGUGGCCAGGCAGGGGGGAAGGCACUGUAGGAGAGCUGCUAUAAGAGGUAGUCGGGGCCGCCUGUGGUUGUGCUGUGCCCCCAAAUCCAAGACCUCCAGUGACAUCCUGGCUGUCUGUGCGUGUGGAUGGGUCCUGUGCCUGUUGCCUUGCCUUGUGUUCCUUUGCAGUUCCCUGGAAUGGAUUGGACAGAGCGAAGCAUGCGGAAUCUGGGCCUCCAUUUGUUCUCUUUCCCCACAAAUGUCAGAAUUGGGUCUUCCCUUGUCCAGCUGGCUCUUGGGGAGUGGUGGCAUUUCCUGGGGUGUAGAAGAUUGCCUGAAGGAGAGCCCAAGGUGGCUGUAGGUAUGACAUGGGAUCAGAGAGGCCAAGAGGCUCGCCCAGUCACACAGCCAGAGAGGAGUUGAGAUGGCAAUGGUUUCCCUCACGUCUGGGCCUCCUUCGGUCCAAGAAGCAGCUGCUUGAGAUUACAGGGCAAGGAAUUGCCAGAAGAGUUUGCAGAUCUGGAUCCCGUGCCUAAAAUAGUAUGGCUCAGAAGGGCCUAAGAAGAGAGCUUGGGGCAUUGCUGGCACUUGGUAAAUAUUUGUUCAAUGAAUGGAUUUUUAUAGAUGGGAAACAAGAAAUGACCAAAAUGUGUUCUCUCUUCAGGAGACCACUGAAAACCAGCACAUAUGGGUGGGUAAGUUGGUACAACCCUUACUGAGGGCAAUUUGGCAGUUUUUCUCAAAAUUACAAAUGCCCAGAUCAGUAGUGCUCACACUUUUACUUAUUUCAUUUUAUUUUACUUAUUUUAUUUUAUUUUAUUUAUUUUAUUUUAGAGAGAGAGCACGAGUAGGGAAGGAGCAGAGGGAGACAGAGAAUCUUAAGCAGGCUCCAUGCCCAGCACGGAGUUCGACAUGGGGCUCAGUCUCACAAUGGAGAGUUCAUGACCUGAGACGAAAUCAAGGGCUGGACCCUUAACUGACCAAGCCACCCAGGUGCCCUUCACGGUUUUACUUCUGACAUUUGCCUCGCAUGUGUUUGCACAUAUGCAACAUGAUGACAUAAAGGGUUAUUUAUUGCAGUAAUAAUGAAGAUGGGAAAGAAAUUACAUUUUCUUCAAAGGGGGGCUGAUUACAUAAAUUAUGGCUUAUCUAUACAUUAAAACAAUUGAACAUCAUACAGGUAAUGAAAAGAAUAAGAAUACUUUCUACAAGGGGUGCCUGGGUGGCUCAGUCGGUUGAGCGUACGACUUCGGCUCGGGUCAUGAUCUCACUGUUCAUGAGUUCGAGCCCCACGUCGGACUCUGUGCUGACAGCUCAGAGCCUGGAGCCUGCUUCGGAUUCUGUGUCUCCCUCUCUCCCUGCCCCUCCCCUGCUCAUGCUCUGUCUGUCUCUGUCUCAAAAAUAAAUAAAGACAUUUAAAAAAAUUAAAAAAAAAAGAAUACUUUCUACUGAGAGGGGAGAAUAGGUAUAGCAGGCUGCCUUUUGUUUAUAAAGGGAAAAAGCAAAGGUCCAUAUUUAUACCUGCUUGUAAGUAUGUAAGGAAAAUCUGAAUGCACUCAGAAGGAAUAAAUAAUAUGGUUGGUCAGGGGGUAGAGGAAGUAUGGUAAAGAAAAGAAGCAAAUGGGGAUUAGGUGGGAGGGAAACUCCUCUCUCCUUCCAUGACCCUGAGGAGUAGGUUUUAAACCAAGUACUUCUAUAUGCAUACAUAAUGUAUGCACACACACACACACGUGUGUGUGAAAACAGCUAUUAAACUAAAAAGAUAGCAGAGGAAGUCAUCAGACCCCUGGAGACCACAACUAUUCCGUCAGGACACUCUGUAGGGACAGCCAUGCGAUGGGGCCACUCACCGGAAUUUCAUCCACUCUUGCUAAAAGAUGAUAUAUUGCACAUGUUAAUUCAAUUUGGACAGAAAAGGCAAUGAGAUAUGUUUCCGGUCCUACUAUCAUGCAUCCAGAAACUCCCAGAGAGCACUUUACAAAUUGACAGUCAAUAAACCAUUUCACCCAGUGGAGAAACAGAGCAAAACCCAAGAUGGAAUGCUGAUAUUCAUGCCACAGAGGACGCUCCUCCCCCAAAUACUCCAUGAUAAAAGAGUGAAAUAUUAUAGCUAGUGAACUUAGGAAUUUAGCAAAGAAAGAAUUUAUGGAGUAGCUAUAGUUCUAGAAUGAUCGAAGGCUGUAUCUUCUAAAAUAUUAAAAUGCAAAUUCAGGAAAUCUGCAGAGAAUAACACAGACCUUAUAUAUUAUAUAGGGUUUGGCACAUGGCAUGUGAUCAAUGUGAAGUGAAUCAAAAAAAAAAAAAAAGGAAAUGUAUUAAGCUGAGUGCUAUUACUCAAAUAAAUUAAAUUAAAUAGAUGAAUCUGUAUCUCUCAUAGCAUUUAUCAAAAUAUUUUAAACUGGGGAGCCCAGAGAAUAAUUAGAACUAAUACUGUGGCAGAUAAUAUUUUUGAUGUAUGUAGGUCUCAAUAACUUGCCUUUUGCCCCUUUUUGAUUUAUAGUUUAAUUUUUUUUCUGGGAGUGCCAGCUUCUUUGGAGUUAUUAGCUUCUUUUAAAAAUAAUUCUCAAAUAGCAAGCUAUUCUGUUUCCCAUCCUUGUAGGCAUCAAACAACAAGCAAAUUUUAACAUUCUCGGUGGGCAAAAUACUGGUGUUUUGAAUCAGUGUGCUACAGCUCAAGGUCAUGUAUUCAAAGUAGAAGAAUAUUAACUUUCAAAAAACUUUAGCACGAACCACCUGGGAAUAAUGAUACUUGUGUGCAAUGAAAAGAGGUCUUAGCACAUGCGCACAGACCCGGAAAAGAAUCUCCAUGAAACAAUGUAAGGUGUUUAGAAUCAGAUUAUGCCUCUGUUACUUUUCUAAGACAGGUUUCCAAUGAUUUUCCUAGUAACUGAGAUGACAUUAUAGAGAAAAUGUUGCCAAGAGCCACCCGUUGACUUGGUUGUGGCAUUUCCUCCAUUGUUACAAAGGUGAAGAGUGAAUCUCCACCAUGCUAUAGCUUUGCAGGAGGAGUGGGGGAAAUACGUUACAAAACCGCACAGAGAAUGGCCCCACUUCAGUAAGGAUCGAGUUCCCCGCAGCAUCCUAAUUUUCCCUUUCUCUACUGUCCGGCAACUUGAAAUGAAUGCCUAUGUUAAAAAUUGCCUUUAUAUUAACAUUAACAACUCAGGCAACAACAGAUGUUGGCGAGGAUGCGGAGAAAGAGGAUGUCUUUUGCACUGCUGGUGGGAAUGCAAACUGGUGCAGACACUCUGGAAAACAGUACGGAGGUUCCUCAAAAAACUAAAAACAGAACUACCUACGACCCAGCAGUUGCACUAAGAGGUAUUUAUCCAAGGGAUACAGGUGUGCUGUUUUGAAGGGACACAUGCACCCCAGUGUUUCUAGCAGCACUAGCAACAAUAGCCAAAGUGUGGAAAGAGCCCAAAUGUCCACUGAUGGAUGAACGGAUAAAGAAGAUGUGGUAUAUAUAUACAGUGGAGCAUUACUCAGCGAUCAGAAUGAAAUCUUGCCAUUUGCAACUAUGUGGAUGGAACUGGAGGGUAUUAUGCUAAGUGAAAUUAGUCAGAGGAAGACAAAUAUCAUGACUUCACUCAAAUGAGGACUUUCGGAGACAAAACAGAUGAACAUAAGGGAAGGGAAGUAAAAAUAAUAUAAAAUCGGAGGGGGACAAAACCUGAGAGACUCUUAAAUACAGAGAACAAACAGAGGGUUGCUGGGAAAUUGGAGGGGGAGGGGCUAAAUGGGCAUUAAGGAAUCUACUCCUGAAAUCAUUGUUGCACUAUAUGCUAACUGACUUGGGUGUAAGUUAAAAAAAAUAAAAUUAAUAUGCAAAAAAAUUGCCUUUAUAAGUUUACGGUUGAAGGGGUUUUUUUUGUUCUUUUAAAAGCUGCUUGAUUUCUUUUCCCAUUAUUCCCACUAAUUGCAUAACUUAAUUUCUUUUUUCAUGUUGCCCCUCAGCAUUACUUUACUGACGUUUUAGAAAGGUAAAUGUUCUGCUACCAUAAAUACCAAAAAUAUCCACAAGUCUCUGAAGCAGUCGUGAGAAAGGCAGUCCUGAC